This 449-nucleotide ribosomal RNA is filed under the name uncultured bacterium. Its description in RNAcentral is "partial 16S ribosomal RNA". It matches the Rfam family "Bacterial small subunit ribosomal RNA", at positions 29 to 523 of the family's 1533-position model. The record is from RNAcentral.
AACGAACGCUGGCGGCAUGCCUAACACAUGCAAGUCGAACGAAGCCUUCGGGCUUAGUGGCGCACGGGUGCGUAACGCGUGGGAAUCUGCCCUUGGGUUCGGAAUAACAGUUAGAAAUGACUGCUAAUACCGGAUGAUGUCUUCGGACCAAAGAUUUAUCGCCCAAGGAUGAGCCCGCGUAGGAUUGGGUAGUUGGUGGGGUAAUGGCCCACCAAGCCGACGAUCCUUAGCUGGUCUGAGAGGAUGAUCAGCCACACUGGGACUGAGACACGGCCCAGACUCCUACGGGGGGCAGCAGUGGGGAAUAUUGGACAAUGGGCGAAAGCCUGAUCCAGCAAUGCCGCGUGAGUGAUGAAGGCCUUAGGGUUGUAAAGCUCUUUUACCAGGGAUGAUAAUGACAGUACCUGGAGAAUAAGCUCCGGCUAACUCCGUGCCAGCCGCCGCGGUAA